CGCCCUUCCCGCCGCGCCACAAUGGCGGCGCCCGCCCGGCCGCCUCCCCCGCGCGGCCCCGCGGCCCGCACCUGCGGCAGGCGGAGGAGGAUGCCGGCCGCCUGGAUGAGCUCGCAGCCCAGGAUGCGCAGGUCGGUCUCGCACUGCAAGUCCAGGCCGUCCUGCAUGGAAGGAGUGGGCGAGAGGCGCUCCUCGGGGAUGAGCGAGUGGUCGAUGGCUGUGUACGUUACAAAGAUCGCUGUGCAAGGGGCCGGGAGAGGAGCCAGCGCUCAGCUAGGACGUUGGCACGCUCUGUAGCACGCAGCCUCAGGGCAGGCCUGGGCUUCUGAGAUUCACUUCUUCUAUUAAGAAGAUAAGAGCAACUAUACUGGAUUACUGAAGAGCAGCAGAAGAACAGGUAGCCUAGCCAGAAUAAUAUUCCAGCUUCCCAAAAUGGGUUUCCUGAACCAGAGGUGAUUCUAUGCAUUUAGUAGCCUACAACAGAUUUCUCCUUCAUGAACUGUACAGCCCCUUUUUGAGCCCAUGAAAACUUUCAGCUCCCCAAACCUGCUAAUUUGUGUUAUCUUUCCCAGGAUCACCAUAUAGACAAAGCCCAACCAGGACUAUUAACUUGAAAGCCUGAGAUCCUGCUUUCUUCAAUAGCCCUGUCACUGUCUGCUAGAUAUGGUAACUAUGGUAAUAAGUAAUCACCGCAUAUUAGGAGAGUAUUAACAAAAAUAAAACAGGUAGAAUCCUACACUUGAAAACCAAAAAUUGAAGUGUAAAAGUUUCCACAACAGGAGUUGUUGCAUGACUUCUGAUUAAUCAGUACAGAUAGUCUCAUAUGACAGCGCAUUCCUGACUGACCUCAUGGGUAUCUUCCUAUGAAAUGAGACAAUACUAAGUAAAGAGUUAAGAGCAGAGAAACAAUAGUACAUAGACUAGAAAACGCUCUUGAUCAAUCAGAUGUGAAAACAGAGGCUGACAGGCUGUGUGAGUACAUGAUCACUCGCUAUCCAGCGCUGAGAGACCUGGUGGCCAGAAUUCAAAGCUGACCUCAAUGUGGUGGUGCCAACAGAGGCCAUCUGGAACCCAGAGGUGGGCUUGCAGCCUCAAAACUGAAGCACAGUCAUGGACAGCUGGAAAAAUCAUAUUUUGCUGUUGUUGAAACACCACCUGCAUUGAAGCAAAGAAACUUCACACUAGCGUACUUCAACAAAAGAAGAGAAAACAAAACACUUGCCAUGUACUGUUUUCACUUGGGCUGGAAGCCACAAACCACAACCAACCAAAGAUCUUUGGUUACAAAUCUGUUUUGCAUGUUGUGGCACAUAGCCUCCAGCUGUUAGUUAUUCUUAAAUAAGGAGUAAUUCCAAUGAAUAUUUGUUUGUAUCAUCAACAAUAGUGCUACCUGAUUGUAUAGUUAUCAUUUACAAAAGAACAUAGAAACAAAGAACCUCUUACAGCUACACAUACUUUCCAUGGCCAGAAAAGGUUCUUUUUGUUCAUAUCCUGGAGACACUGGAGUCCCUUCUAUUAUCAUACUUUUUUAAUAAUCUACAACUAUGACCUGAAAACUGAAUUCAGGGAAGAGAGAACCAAUCAACACCACACAGGGGACAAAUACGAACAGAAGUGCUCAAUGCUUGAGCUAGAGGUCAUCUUUAACUAGUUCAGGUAGCAGAAGCGGCACCAACGCUCCCACAGGAAGACGAAGGGGAUGCAUGUGAAAACGGCCACAGCUCUGCCUGCAUUGCAAACGUGCUGACAAGGUGCCAGAUGCUCAAAUCUUUAUUGCUACCAGCUCUGUAUCACCUGAUGAGCUGGUCCAAUGUACAGACACGUGUGUUACUUAUAUGAACAUAACAAUUAAGCUACAGCAGACUUGGAGUGCACGUUAUUUGGAUAAAUCCAGAUAUCACUGAAAUAUCAAUCACUGAAAUAACAAUAAUAAAGAUUCACAGCCUAAAUGGUGCAUCUUCCUGAAAACAAA
Long non-coding RNA from Rhea pennata, 1972 nucleotides. RefSeq lists it as uncharacterized. The record is from RefSeq and is a predicted model, not a curated record. NCBI's taxonomy places the organism in Eukaryota, Metazoa, Chordata, Aves, Rheiformes, Rheidae. The transcript is spliced from 4 exons.